CAGCCCCUUCUCCAUCCAGUUAUGAAAAAAGUAAAUCACCACUCCUGGGCUGAGGUAUAAAAUAAACAAGACUUUGUUCUGAAGAGUUUAUAUGUCUAUACCUGGCAAGGGGAGGAACAGGAUGGAAGGAAGCUGCUUUCACACAGGUGUGCAGCGUGGUAGCUCCACAGUACUUGGGGUGGGGAGCAGCAGUGUGCAGAUCCCUUUCUGAAGCCUUUCUCUGUACGUCUCCUUUCUCUCAGACAUCAUCUGAUGGUUUUCCCUGUUUGAAGAGACUUUGAAAGUAUCUUCUGAUCAAAUAACGUGACAGCCUUAUUUUUAUGGCCAUAAUAAAGAUGGACCCUGUUUGUG
Gallus gallus (chicken) is the source of this 351-nucleotide long non-coding RNA. RefSeq lists it as uncharacterized. The transcript is spliced from 2 exons. Lineage: Eukaryota; Metazoa; Chordata; Aves; Galliformes; Phasianidae. The record is from RefSeq and is a predicted model, not a curated record.